CUGACUUCAGUGUUAGAUCAGGUUGCUCAGGGGCUUACUCUAAUAAGUUUAGAAAAUUUCCAAGCAUGGGGAUUCCAUAACCUCUUGGGUGACUUUUAGCACAAUAAUUUAAACACAAUGAAACUUCAAAAGUUUAAAGUUGGCCAAGAGAAGAAACAUUAUUGGAAGAUGUCCAACAACAGAGCGAGCUCCUUUAGGAAGUUUUCAUCACCAAGAUCCCACAUGGAGAAGGAAGAGAGGAGAAGGACAUGGGUGAACACACAAAGGGUAUAAAAAAUGUGGAAAUGGCAAAGUAUUAAGACUACAAGGAAGAAUAAAGUUGAUACUCAUAUGUCCAUGAAACGGAACACAAUGAGAGACGAAAGCUCCUGAAUUUUCAUGAAGUUCUACUCCUUCACUUUUUCAUUUUCUGUAGUCCGUCCUGCUGUCUAUGACAAUAUUGAGUUCAUGUAGGGAUCUUUUUAGAUUUAGCCCUAUGUUUGGAGCUCACAUUUAUGUGGCUGAAAAUAUAUCCUUUUAUUCUUUGACAGAAAUUAGAUUCAUGUAGUCAUGCCUUUUUUUUUUUUUUUUUUUCUGGACUCUUGUUAUUUUGAAUUUGUGUAUAAUCCUCCUGUAUGCUACAUCUGGAAGCCCUUUUAUACUAAUAAUCUCAUUAAACAUGACUUCAGUCAAAAACAUUCCCUCUCCUGAAUUCUGUACCGUUAAUAUUGUUUUCACGGCUUCUGAACAGUGGUGUCCUGCUGGGCCA
Long non-coding RNA from Chroicocephalus ridibundus (black-headed gull), 748 nucleotides. RefSeq lists it as uncharacterized. NCBI's taxonomy places the organism in Eukaryota, Metazoa, Chordata, Aves, Charadriiformes, Laridae. The transcript has 3 exons. The record is from RefSeq and is a predicted model, not a curated record.